CACGUAGGGUGCAAGCGUUGUCCGGAUUCAUUGGGCGUAAAGGGCUAGUAGGCGGCUUAGCAAGUCGGGUGUGAAAACUUCAGGCUCAACCUGGAGCGGCCACCCGAUACUGCCAUGGCUAGAGUCCGGUAGGGGACCACGGAAUUCCUGGUGUAGCGGUGAAAUGCGCAGAUAUCAGGAGGAACACCGAUGGCGAAGGCAGUGGUCUGGGCCGGAACUGACGCUGAAUAGCGAAAGCGUGGGUAGCGAACAGG
Molecule: ribosomal RNA, 254 nt
Filed under: uncultured bacterium
Lineage: Bacteria
Description: partial 16S ribosomal RNA
Rfam family: Bacterial small subunit ribosomal RNA
Source: RNAcentral